This 59-nucleotide microRNA precursor is filed under the name Triops cancriformis. RNAcentral describes it as "microRNA tcf-mir-2a precursor (tcf-mir-2a-2)". Its record names the gene tcf-mir-2a-2. It matches the Rfam family "mir-2 microRNA precursor family", at positions 5 to 67 of the family's 72-position model. Rfam says of the family: The miRNAs are transcribed as ~70nt precursors (modelled here) and subsequently processed by the Dicer enzyme to give a ~22nt product. In this case the mature sequence comes from the 3' arm of the precursor. The record is from miRBase by way of RNAcentral. Lineage: Eukaryota; Metazoa; Arthropoda; Branchiopoda; Notostraca; Triopsidae.
CUCGUCAGAGUGGUAGUGAUGUGUAGACGUAACUUCAUAUCACAGCCAGCUUUGAUGAG